UACAGAGGGUGCGAGCGUUAAUCGGAAUUACUGGGCGUAAAGGGCGCGUAGGUUGUUAUUUAAGUUAGAUGUGAAAUCCCUGGGCUUAACCUAGGAACUGCAUUUAAUACUGGAUAACUAGAGUGUGGUAGAGGGUAGUGGAAUUUCCGGCGUAGCGGUGAAAUGCGUAGAUAUCGGAAGGAACACCAGUGGCGAAGGCGGCUACCUGGACAAAUACUGACGCUGAGGCGCGAGAGCGUGGGGAGCAAACAGG
RNAcentral lists this ribosomal RNA (253 nucleotides) under uncultured bacterium. Its description in RNAcentral is "partial 16S ribosomal RNA". It matches the Rfam family "Bacterial small subunit ribosomal RNA", at positions 524 to 776 of the family's 1533-position model. The record is from RNAcentral.